GUUGAACGCUGGCGGCAUGCCUAACACAUGCAAGUCGAGCGGAUGAAGGGGACUUGCUCCUGUCUUCAGUUGCCGACGGGUGGGUAAUUCCUAGGAAUCUGCCUUGUAUUUGGGACUAACGUCCGUACACGGGCCCUAAUCUAGCAUCCGUCCUUAUUUUGAACGUGGUGGUUCUUCAGACAUAGCCGUUUUUGCUGUGACUAGGUCGGAUUAGCUAGUUGGUUAGGUAAAGGCUUACCAAGGCGACGAUCCAUAACUGGUCUGAGAGGAUGAUCUGGCACACUGGAACUGAGACACGGUCCAGACUCCUACGGGAGGCAGCAGUGGGGAAUAUUGGACAAUGGGCGAAAGCCUGAUGCAGCCAUGCCGCGUGAGUGAAGAAGGUCUUCGGAUCGUAAAGCACUGUAAGUAGGGAGGAAGAGAAGUAAGAUAAAAUCUGGAUGUCUUGACGGUACCAAAAGAAAAAGCAACGGCUAACUUCGUG
Molecule: ribosomal RNA, 484 nt
Filed under: uncultured bacterium
Lineage: Bacteria
Description: partial 16S ribosomal RNA
Rfam family: Bacterial small subunit ribosomal RNA
Source: RNAcentral